RNAcentral lists this ribosomal RNA (438 nucleotides) under uncultured bacterium. Its description in RNAcentral is "bacterial SSU rRNA". It matches the Rfam family "Bacterial small subunit ribosomal RNA", at positions 18 to 507 of the family's 1533-position model. The record is from RNAcentral.
UCUGGCUCAGAACGAACGCUGGCGGCAGGCCUAACACAUGCAAGUCGAACGCCCCGCAAGGGGAGUGGCAGACGGGUGAGUAACACGUGGGAACGUGCCCUUCGGUUCGGGAUAACUCAGGGAAACUUGGGCUAAUACCGGAUACGUGCGAGAGCAGAAAGAUUUAUCGCCGAAGGAUCGGCCCGCGUCCGAUUAGCUAGUUGGUGAGGUAAUGGCUCACCAAGGCGACGAUCGGUAGCUGGUCUGAGAGGAUGAUCAGCCACACUGGGACUGAGACACGGCCCAGACUCCUACGGGAGGCAGCAGUGGGGAAUAUUGGACAAUGGGCGCAAGCCGAUCCAGCCAUGCCGCGUGAGUGAUGAAGGCCCUAGGGUUGUAAAGCUCUUUCGCCAGGGACGAUAAUACGGGUACCGAUAAAAAGCCCCGGCUAAUUCUGUC